Regulatory RNA element from Gasterosteus aculeatus (three-spined stickleback), 31 nucleotides. It matches the Rfam family "Iron response element II". Rfam says of the family: IRE, TFRC, SLC40A1, SDHB, SLC11A2, CDC42BPA, ACO2, ALAS2_H.SAPIENS, CDC14A, EPAS1, ALAS2, qoxD, Hao1, NDUFS1, transferrin, Aconitate. The record is from Rfam. NCBI's taxonomy places the organism in Eukaryota, Metazoa, Chordata, Actinopteri, Perciformes, Gasterosteidae.
UAUUUAUCAGUGGCAGAGUUCACUAUAAAUA